UCACACUCAUUCCUGUCAACAUCUUGGAAAAAGGAAUUUGCAAGCAAGUCAUUGAAAUACUUGUUGCCUUCGUCUUCCAUCCUCCCAUUUGAUGGCCUGAGAAAACCUUCAGCCAUCCAAAGUUGAACCAGCUCUUCCCUUUCAAUUUCAAAAUCUUUAGGGAAAAUGGAACAGUAUGCAAAACAUUUUUUCAGUGUUGGCGAUGACAGUUAAUCAAAACUUAAUCUCAAUACUCGCAAAGCUUUAUCUCCAUCCGGAGAAUCCCAAAUUCUACUGUUUAGAAUUGACUUCCAUUCCUGCGUCUCCUUUUGGCGCAGUGUUCCUCCCAAAACUUUAGCAAGUAAUGGAAUCCCUCCACAUUUCUUUGCAAUCUGUUUUCCAAUAGACUCCAAGUCUGAAGGUAUUGUUUCUUGUCCACCCCUGCUCACCUUUUGCUUGAUAAUGGACCAACAUUGAUCAGCGGAUAGUCUCCCUGGCUCGUGCUGAAUCCCAGGAGAAGUCUCCAUCAUGCCUGCUACUUUCUUACUGCGGGUUGUAACAACAACAGCAUUCCCAUUCUUGCUGUUAAUUUUUAACAGUCGCUCCUUCAAAUCAUCCCACUUACCAUGGUCUUCAUUCCACACGUCAUCAAGAACAAGAAAAAAUGUCUUAUUUUCCAGCUCUUUCAUAAGGUUUUGAAGAAUUGCAUCAAGACUGUUCAACCCACCCGUAGUUUUGUCAAUCAUUUGCAACAUUGCUCCUAAAAUCUUCACUUGAUUAAAAUCAUUAGAAACACAAACCCAAAUUGUUAAAUCAAAGUGUUUUCUCUCCCUCACUACUGCACAAACUUUUUUUGCUACAGUAGUCUUUCCAAGGCCAGCCAUCCCCACUAUAGGGACAACCGAAAGGACAUGUUGGUGUUUGGUCAAGCUAGUCAGCAUAUCCAUAACUAUAGAAACAUCAUCCUCCCUUCCUACAAUUUCUGAGCUGUCAAGGAAGGAAUCUGUCUGUCGAUCUUGAUCCCAGCUAACUUCUUGAGCUCUAUCUACAUGUAGAGAUGUCAAUUGAAAUACAGCUGCAUCUUUUCGAAUUUCAUCCAGUGCUCCAUUGAUCUCCUUAACUUUUUGACCCAUAUUCAGACGGAAUGCGACAGGGUUGUGGAGUGAAAAGCAGUCACGUACCUUUCCCUUCUUUUGGUCUUUUCGGAGAAUCUCAUAAGCAAACUCGUCUAGAACAUCUUCAGCAUCGUAAGCUACAUCUUGUAGUUUCUCCAGCCAACCCUUCACAGAAUCGUCUGUGACUGACCUUCUUGCUGCAUCUUGGAGCACAUCUCUGAUCAUGAUCAAGGACUGCUUGAGCUUUCGCAGCUGUCCCUCCAAUCCCCAAGCAAGUCUGAUCCCUUCAGCAGCUAUGGAACCGACCCUUGUCAAAGUCUCCUCCAUGGUAAACGUAAGAAGAAGCUCUACUGCCAUAUUCUCUUGUUUUCUCUGGGAAAUCAAAGAAGAAAGAUCGAGCACAAGAGAGAUAAAAAUGGUCUGAAAGUUUUGAAAUAGAGACGAAAUGAAGUGCGUUUUGCGAUGGGGAUAUGCAUUCAACUUCAAAGCAGAGGGUCCCUCCCUCACUGCAUUAAUUGAUUGAUGGCAGUUGGCAGCAUCUUCCACUAUCCACUACGGUCAAACUUGGCACGCUGAAGCCAAGACAAGGACCCUCUCUUCGUAUCCAGUUCAAGACAUUAAAAGAAUAAUUUAUAAGUCUUCUUCCAGUCUUUCAUGCGUUCUUUCUUUCCUUUUUUUUUUUUUUUUUUAUGCAGCGAGUUGUUAAGGACAUGAUUUAAAACAAAAACAAAUAUAUUUAAUUGCAUUUCCUAAUCUUACGUACAACAGUCUUCUGCAAAGUCUUUCUUUAUAUAAACAUAUAUUUAAGUUAAAAAGUAUUCCAAUAGCCGGCCAAUUGCUUUCUAGGAUUCGACUUUUUCAAUCAAUGUGAUGAGAUUUGUCAUAUGAUUUAGUAUUAUUGCAGUAUGAAGUCAUCCAUUCACUACUUGUUCAAGGCCCUCAAUUAUAUUUCUCAAAUGGGACAAAAACAAAUGGCAGACAAGAGAGCUUGCGACCUGCACAUCCGAUGUGAUCACCCCCAUCGUCACCCUAAACAUUAAUUGUCAAUAAUCGGAUUAAUUAUUAUUGAUCCAUGUUUAUUUGAACUUAUUUGAUAUCAUAUUUGUAUUUGGUUUCAUAUAAAGAAAAACACUCAAGGUGGCUGCGUUUUCCAGAAUCACAUGAUCUAACCCCUGUUUUUAGCUAGGUUCUCUUUGCCAUUGGACUUUUCUUCGAGUGUUGUGCGAAUACAAAGGGAGCACCGCACCCUGAUGUGCCUGACCAUAUUAAUUAUUUCUUUUUGCUGUCUUUAGAACAGUGUUGUGUUUCAUUCUCCUUUCCUAUGCACAAUCCAUUUCCAUGUGCUUUAGCCUAUUCCCUCAAUAGUUUACAGAAGUGUUUGCCAUGUGAUACUGCGAGAUGCCCCCUUGCUUUCUGCAAUUCUUUUUUUUUUUUUUUUUGUCUGGCUAAACGAUGAAUAUUCAUGAACAUCAUUAGAAAACUAAAAUAAUUACUGAAUUUGACAUUAAUCACAGUUAAUUGUGUGUGUGUGUGUGUAUCUGAGUUAACGUAUUGUGAUGAAAGUAAGCAGUUGGCCGGUCAGUUGCUUUCUAGGAAUUUUAUUCUUACGGUGAAGAAAAUAAUAGAGAUUUAGGGUAGGAUCCCAAUCCCAAUUCACCAAAUAUCUUCUAUUACCCAGCAUAAUAUUAUAUUAUAUAAUAAUAUUUAUGAAUUAUUGUAGGAUUUUAUUGUUAAAAAAUUCUCUUAUAUAAUAUAAAUAUAUAAAGUAUAUGAUGUGAAUAAAAAAAUUAUUUCUAUCAACCUUAAUAUAAUAAUAUUAAAAUUAUAAUUUUUCUAAAUACUUUAUUUUAUUUCAAAGAGUUAAUUGCAAUUAUCUAAAUUCACAAAAAAUCUGGAAUCAAGAUACUGAAAAUUAACAACUGGAAAUACUUACCAUUAGACUUCUUAUCUUGUUUUGGUUUCACAUGAGGAAUAUCUUUACAGUUGUUUUUUUAUAUUAAAGAUCUCGUUUGUUUGUUGGAAAGUUUUUUUUUUUUGAAAAGUAAAUUUCGAGAAAGUGAAUUUUUUUUUAAUUUUGGUAGUGUAAUGAAAAAUAAGUUGGAAAACACUUUUCAGUAUUUGGUUAUGUCAGGGAAAAUGAGCUGAAAAAUAACUUAUUAAUGUUUUAUUUUUUUCAAGUUUAUUAAAAUAAUGAGGAACAAAUCUUACAAAUUAAAAAGUUGAAUGAGAAUGAAAUUGAAAAAAAUAUAAUUUCAUAAAUUAUCUCAAAUAAAAUAAAUAAUAAUCAAAAUAAUAGAGAUCAAAUCUAACAAAUAAAAAAAUUGAAAGAUGAAGAAAUUAAAAUAAUAAUAAUAACCAUUUCAUAAAUUAUUUCAAAUAAAAUAAGUAACAAUCAAAAGAAUGAGGACCAAAUUUGAUAGAUAAAAAAUUUCAAUUAAAAAAUGAUAAGGAAAAAGCAAAUAACAAUUAUAAAAAUGAGGACAAAGUUAAUAUAAAAAUCAAAUUUUAAGGGAUGAAAUUAAAAAAAAAAUAUUCAAAACAAUAUAUAUAUAACAAUCAAAAAUUUAAGGACCAAAUUAAUUUGAUAUAAUUAGCAAAUAAUAUAACAUUACUAAAUUUUUCACAACUUCCGGAAAGUGUUUUCCGUCCAAAAUAAAAGAAAAACACUUUCAUGGAAACUAAGCCAAAUUUUCUUUUGACUGAAAAAUAUUUUCCGUUGACCAAUUUUCUUAUGGCAAACAAAUAUAGGAAAUUUUAAAAAGUAGUUUCCAGGAAACCACUUUCUACCAAACAAACUAGGCCUAAAUUACAUUUUGUCUUUCAAAUCGCUAGAAGAUAUAUUAUCUAUAUUAAAACUAUAAAAUCUUAAAAAUAAAAUAUACUAAGUAAUUAAUUGAUAAACUCACAUCAAAAUACCAAAAUAAAGCAAGAAAUCUAGAAAAAUAAAUAUUUUUAAAAAACAUGAUAUAAAAAAACAAACAUAUUUAAUUGCAUGAAAAGAACUCAUUGUAUUCAUGAAAAGAAUGUGUUCUUUUUCAGCAAACUUCUUACCAAGAUAUCAAUCAAUCAUACAUAACACCAUGGUUUCAUUUAUAACAUCAUGGUUUCAUUCAUAAAGUUUUUAUGAAAGUUAUGUUAUAUUUUUACCGAUUAUCUAAGUUAUUUUUAGAUCUAUUAAAUUUAAUAAUUCAUUUUGAAUUAACUUUCAUAUGAUUUAAUUUAAAAUUUGAGCUAGAUAAGGAGUCGGGUUGAUAAGUUUUAAAAUCAAACUGUUUAAUUAGAUUUAAUAAUAUUGUUAAAAAAAUCUUCAGACUAACUUGAAUAGAAAAAAUAUUAUCCAUUUAAUGUUAGAUAAUGAUCUGCAUUUCUUAGCAAAACUUGAUUUCUCAUCAAAUUUACGUGAAUUUAGUUUGAACUCUUAAUUAGCAAUUUCUUUUUUGAAUUGUUGAUUUAUAUAAAUGAAUUUAGAGCUUGAAACUUUUUUUUUUUAUUGUAAGAAUAUCAAUGUAGCUAAAUUGUUUCCCCUUAUUUAUUUUUUUCCAAAAAAAUAUACAAAAUAAUAAACAAUUUUUUUUUCUUUUACCAGAGUUUGUAUUUCCUACAUAUUUUCAUGUAAACUAAGCAAUACGUAUAUCAUAACACAGGAGGGAGAGAUAACACAAAGAAACAAUCAAUCUAAUCAUACUACAUCGUUAUAUAUUAUUUAAAAAAAUUAAUCAUUCUGUGUUACUUUCCAGGAAGCAAUAGAAUUUUAUUGUUGACUUUUAUUCUGCAUCCUGACCAGCCUAUGAUUUAUUAUGAUCAACAAAUAGCUCAUUCUCUAGUCUAGAUUUAAUUCUGUCAUGGAUAGAUGAACGUCUUCCCAUCAUUAUUUGUGUGCACUUUGAACUUGUAAGGUUGUAGUCUAGAUUUAGUUCUUUUUUUAUUUUGUUGAUGUUCUAUUUAGCGUCUGCCUGAAAUAUCAGCACCUUAACUCAAAGAUCUAGUUCUGCCAGGUUGGGUUGCUGAAAUCAAGGCUAUUUCUGCCCCCAUAUAAAGUCUCUUAUUUAUGGACUUCUCUUCUCCUGUUACUUGUAGAAUUCUUCUUCUUUCUUUCUGUCCAAUUAUCACUGGAAAACUCCCUCUGGUUGCCGACUUAUAGCAGCUGCAUAUCCACCCUUACAAGGACUCAUGCACACACUCUGCUACCAGGAAUUUCUUUUUCGCUGAUUUCUGCUCUACCUGGGUACUCAUCAGAUCCAUGGUGUAAAACAAGAUCAAAUUGACAUGAUUUUUGGAUCAUUUAUAUCUCUACAUAUACUGGUUGAUAUAAUAUAAAAGAGAGAUGAAGACUUGUAAAGAGAGGAGUCUAUUAAUGAUGGUGACAUCCAUGAAAGGGUCUAAAAAAGAAAUAAAGACCUGGAAUUACAGUUUAGUUUUCAAGACUUGUUGAAGUUUCUAAAACUUUUUGGAUGAAUUAAAAUCGACUUUGUGGUUGGAAUGAGUUUGUAGAGGCUGUUGAAUUUACCACAACUAAUUAAGUUGCUUUUUUCUUCUUGUGCAUGCAAAUCUUAUAUCAGUGGAGAAAAACUUAAUAGAGAGUGGGUAAUGCCUUGCUCAGAUCACAGCAACACUGCAAUUUAGACUUGAAUAAAAUUACUAUUAGGAUCAAACUGGCUCUAUCAUUCUCAGCAGCCAGUAUCAUUCUCAGCAAAUCAGAAUUUGUUUUCCCCAUACAAUUGCGCUAUCUGUUUUAGCAGGCAAUCUUCAGUGAAAAUCUUGAGAAAGUCCCAACUUUCUGUGUAUCUUAAUCAGAAUGAUUCAACCAGACAUCGAAAAGUGGCAUCUGAGCUUCAUUUUGAAACAUAGUUGAAUCAUUUCCUGCCACUUCUCCUGAAAAAUAACAUGGUGGGAUUUCUUGAAACUUAUCCAUAUGUCGUUGAAACCAAACUUUCUAUUCAUGAAUAGGUAGAAAUCAAACGACAUAUGUGGAUAACAUUUGUUUUCUAUUCAUUGUGAAUAGUUGCUGCUUAUUUUUAUAUUUGGCUUCUAGGUUAAGUGUAUGAAGGAAAUGUUCUUUUUCUGACAGUGACGAUAAUAAAAAGCUUGUUGAAAAAGAUAUAACGCAGAGCAACUGUGAACGAAUGGUAAUUAACAGGUAAAAUUAGAUUUAUCCACAGAAAAAAUCUUCACCAUCCAAGCAAUAAGUUUGAUUUCUCAAACUUUCUGCCCUUAAAGCUGGGUUGAGGUCAACAUUAUAAUGUAGACGAAGUGUUUUAGCAGAAACUAAAUUAGAAAAAACAUAAUCCAUCAUGUUGUUAGAGCAUGUGCUGACUUAGUUAAAAACUAGUUGCCAAAAAUAUUUUAAUUUUUUUUCAAAAAUGCUACCAGAAAAAUAUGCUACCAAGUGCUUAAGAACUCAUGUAUCCCUCUGGAUGCUUUUCGUGCCGUGGUAAAUCCUAAAACCGUCGUUUUCAAUGCAGCGCCAGACAUCCCAUGCUACAAUGUCUUCAGUAGAAAGGUAAGAUCUCUCAAAUCUCUGCAGAUCCAAAAUUUCACCACAAAAAUAGAACGAUGUCAUUUGAUAAACAAUACAGUGACUGCCAUUCAAUUGUCAUUUGGUGCUCCUCUCUUUAUUCCAUGCUGUAACUUUCUUUUGCCUGAGAUUUGGUCCGAUGUGCUUGUCUCAACAUGACAAUCCAUGUUCUUGAACUUAUAUCAUUUUAAAAAAAUUAUUUAUUUAUUAACAAAAUAAAAAUAAAAUAAAAAUAAAAUAAUUGUAUAAAUUUUUUUAAAAAAAUAUGAAUUUCAAAAACAUAAGACAAAAAAAGCUAAUUAUUGUUAACUUUUUAAACUGUGAUAAGAGUUAUAAAACCAAAAGUAUUAUAUAUAAAAAAGUCAGAGAGUUAAAAUUACACAAAUUAAAAACACAAAAAAAUUCAAAAUAAAAAAAUAAAAUAAAAAUAAUAAGGGUUAAAACUUAAAAGUGCAAUAAAAAAUAAAUCAAAGGGCAACAACAUAUUAUCAAAUCAAUAACAAUUUGUGUAAAGCAAUGAAAAAAAAUCAUCAACACAUCCGAGAUUUAUUUGAAAAAAGCAAUAUAUAAAAAAAACAAUUUUAAUCUUUAUAAAAUUAAGAAAAAAUCAAAGAUGAAUCAUAUCUUUCUCUUUAGAAGUUAAACACAUCCAAUAUUAUUUAAAAAUAAUCACAAUCUAAUUAAAACAUAAACCCAAGAUUUAUUUGAAAAAAUACAUAUCAAAUAAUGCAUUGUUUUUUUUAUAAAAUUAAAAAAAAAUUAGGCCAGGCCUAGCACUUUGUUCAAUAAAGCAACAACUCAUGUGCGGGUCUGCAAUGCUAGGCUUAAGCACGGGCUUUUAUUUUUUAAAAAAGUUUAAUGGGGCGAGCAAACGCGUCGUCCGCCCUAAGCAUUUAAAAAAAUGACACGUCGUCUGCAUCAGCAGGCAACACAUCGUUUGCGCAACCUAGAAUCCGGUCAUUAUGGCGGUUGGAAAAUCGGGGUUCUCUGUUAUUUUUACCCUAAACCUCAUUUUCAAUCUAUUUUUUACCCAAAAUACCUAGGAACCACCCUAUAAACCUUCUUGAACUAAUUCAUGGCCAUUAAAAAACCGUCAAAAACCCGAAAUCCAUUAUAAAAAAAAUGUUCUCGAGCUUAUAUUUAUUUUUAUUGGUGUUUUCAAGAUAAACAAACACCUAAUCAUAUCCUCCCUCAUCAUAUGAAACCUUUUGAUGGUCGAAACCGUUUUUGUGGCCGAAAUCUUUCCCAACGAACACCUUUUCUCUCUAAGCCGGAAUUUGACGACUCUCUCUCUUUUCCCACCAAAAAAAAAAGAAAAAUGAAGUUAGGUACCAACAUGUAUUUUCUAAAAAUUAAAGGGAUUGGUCACCUAAUAUCUAAAAAAAUAGGGGACUAAAAUGAUUAUUUUAAUAAAAUUUUCAACCCGCCCCCUAUAUUACUCGAGGUUUUCACUUCAGUUUCUUAUCUUUCAAUUCAACCCUCCCUCCUAUAAAAAUAUACAAUUGAGAUUUAAUUUGGAUUUAAGAAGGUUAAAUCACACAAAAUAAAAUUUUACAGAUCAAAGUAAAUUUUUUUUUUUUAAAAAUGGAAUGCUCAAAUCCAGUAUUAUAUGAGUGAGUGCAUAGUAAACAAAAGAGAAACUAAUCUAUUUCUGUAUAUUGUAUAAUAUAAUUAUAAAAAUAAAAUAAAACAACUUGGAUCAUUCAAAACAGACAUGCAUUAUCUAUAUACGUCCUAUCCAACAAAAACAACCUUAACUAGUUUUUUUAAUUUUAAUUAUAAUUAUAAAAAAAUAAUAAUAAAAGGAUUGGUGAAUCUACUGUGCAUCAAGACACGUGUCUCUAUUCAUUCAUUGGAGCAGUAGUACAUCUACAUUUUGCCUCACGGUCAAGUUAUCUUGCCUGGCUUUUGUCUCAUCUGUUAGGGAUGAGCAAAAAAAUUGAAAAACCGAUUUAAUCGAGAAAAUCGAAAAAAAAAUUAACCGAAAAAACCGAACCGAUAAAAAAAGCCGAUUGAACCGGUUAAAAUAUUUAGGAAAAUAUCCGGUUCGGUACGGUUUCCGGUUUUGGUAUGCCUAAACCGGUCAACUCAAACCAAACCGGUUUGGUUUAGGAAUGAAAAAAUAAAUAAACCAAGCGGUCCAAGCCACGGGCCGCCUCCUCCCAUUACUUUCCCUUUCAACAACCCUAGUAAACCAUUUAUCUGUUUUCCCUUUCACACAGCCGCCCCCUCCCCUCCAACCCUUUCAAUUUUCAUUCACACUUCACAAUGACACAGCCGCCUCGUUCGAUCAUCCCUACUCCCAUUAACAGCCGACCCUGCCCCCUCCCAUUAACAGCCUCCUCCUCUUCACCAGUCAAUGAGCUUAGGCUAUUCUCGAACGACUAUUCUUCGCAUCUCGAAAGAAAUCGUCGUGCGUGUGAGGUGGUGAAACUGUUACUGCUUCCAGAGCUUCUUCAAUCUAUUGCUUCUAUCAAAGCCGAUUACAUCGCUCAAGUAAUCUUGUCAUGUAAUUACAGAUUUAAUUAAUUGUUGCUUGUUGAUUUUAUAUUGUUUCUAUUUUCUAUUUUGAUGUGUUAAUUAUUUUAAACAAUGUAAAAAUAAAGGUGGACGAAAGAACACAAUCUGGAAAGGAAAUUGGAAUCGUUGUCCCUGUCUCAGAUUUUCAGAAGACGAUCAAUCACAAACAAUAUGUCCUUAUUUUUUUUUCCUUCUUUUCUUUCUCAUGGGUAGAUUGGAAUUUGGAACUGCCAACAAAAGUUUUUAUCCGAAGUAAGCUUUUUGAAAAUUGACCCCAUUAUUUACUGUGGCUUAAGCUUUGAGAUAUUGCAUGAUUAUGAAUUGGUUUAUUUAUUGAGGCGUAGCUUUCUGUUUGGAUAUUGUCUGACUUAUAUUUGGUAAAACCGUAAAUGUAGUUUUCGGGAAUACUCAACUAAAAACAAACAUUAUUUGAAACUUUAUGGUCGAACCAUGCUUUGAGAUAUUGGAAUUAUUAGAAUGAAUGAAUGAUUACCACAGCUGCACAACAUGUGGGUUGACUCUACAGCUGCAAAUCAUAUGGUGUUUGAUUGUGGGUUGACUCCACAGUUUUGAUGAUUAAAGUUUUGUUUAGUUGAGUCUGGGAUUUUGUUGGAGAUGAUUGUUUGAUUGUAUCUCAAGUAAGCUAUUCUUUUUGUCUCGUGCUUGACUAUUUUAAAGCCAAGGUGUUUAACUAGUUAAGCGGCCAAAUUUUAGCUUUAUCUUAUUGUUCCUAAUCUGACCAUCACACAUCAAUACUUGGAUUGUAGAUUUUUUAAUUGAUCCUCUGAUGGAUUGUAGCCUUGAUCUUCCCCUUUUUUAGGUUGAAAGGAACUAGUUGAUAUAGAGGUUGUAUAGAGUCUGAUAGGGAAUGGUCAAACCAUUCUUUGUUUUCUUUCGAGAGAUUGCAACAUUACUGUUAUGGAGCUCUCUUCCUAUCAAAUAGAUAUGACGUUGAAUCCAACUUGCCCAAGAUUGUCUGUUAGAUUUUGUGCUGUUACUGCAACAUCACUGUGUUUUUGUGCUGUUUGAAGCUGUUUUCUUGUGAGUUCUUCAUUGUUAUUGGUUGUUGUUUUGAGUUCAACAUGCAGAAAUAUUAACAUGUCCUCAAUUUUAAUUAUAUAUGGAAAACCUUCAAAAUCAAAAUGUUUCAUUCAUUAGCACUACCCCAACAUCAACUAAUGCCCCAACUUCAAACACUAACCCAACAUCAACAACUGCAGGAUCCGCCACUGAUAAUAAAGGUACCCAACUUUAAGUCCUUACAUCAAGGAAAAGAAAUGUUGAUGAUAAAAAAAGUCACAAAUUUGGUAUCAUUUUACAAAACUUGAUGGUGAUCCUACAACCCCUAGAGCUGAAUGUAAUUAUUAUGGAAAGGAUUAUGCAUGUCAUACUAUUAUUAAUGGGACAAGUAAUAUUUGGAGUCAUUUAAAAGUAUGCAAAAAGUUUCCUUUUGUGGUUGAUAAGAAGCAAAAUUUUUUGGUAUUAGAACCUAAUAAAGCAGGGGGUGAAUUAGGAGAUCAAACUGUGGGAACUCUUAAGGCAAUAGGUUAUUAUUAUGAUGAAUGCAGAAAGACACUAGUAAAAAUGGUUAUAAUUGAUGAGUUGCCUUUUAAUUUUGUGGAGGGUAAGGGAUUUAGAUUAUUUUCUAGGACCUUGCAGCCUAUAUUUGACAUUCCUUCUCGUUUCACUGUUAUGAGAGAUUGUUUGAAACUUUAUGUUGAAGAGAAGGAAAGAUUAAAGAGAGCUCUUAAAGGUCAACGAUUAUGCUUAACAACAGAUACAUGGACAUCAAUCCAAAACAUUAACUAUAUGUCUUUAACAACUCAUUGAAUUGAUAAUGAGUGGAAUUUGCAUAAUUGUUUUUGAAUUUUUAUUAAGUUUCCAAUCAUAUGGGUGAGACAAUUGGUCAAGUUAUUGAGAAUUAUUUGUUAGAUUGGGGGAUUGAUAAACUUUUAACUGUUACAGUAGACAAUGCAAUCUCUAAUAGUGUUAUUAUUUCAUAUUUAAAGAAUGUGAUAAAAGAUUGGCCAACGAAUAUAUUGUCAAAUGAACAUUUGCAUGUUAUAUAUUGUGCACAUAUUGUAAACCUCAUUGUGUGUGAUGGCUUGAAAGAGAUUAAUGUUUUGGUUGUUAAGAUUCGAAAUGCAAUUAGGUUUGUGAGAUCCUCACCUUCUAGGCUACUUGCAUUUAAGAAGUGUGCUGAAAAGUUGUAUAUAGAGUGUAAGAAAUCAUUGUGUUUGGAUGUUGCAACUCGAUGGAAUUCAACUUAUCUUAUGUUAGAAGCUGCUGAAAAGUUUGAAAAGGUGUUUAUGAGGUUAGGUCAAAGUGAACCUAGGUAUAUGAGUUACUUUUUGGAGAUUGUUUCAAAGAGGAAUAAAAAAAACAUAGGGCCACCUAGUUUGGAGGAUUGAGAAAAUGCUAGAACUUUGCUAAAGUUUUUAAAGAUCUUUUACAUGGUUACAUUGAGAUUUUCUGGCUCAUUGUAUGUCACAUCAAAUUCUUUCUUCAAUGAAUUGAUUUACAUGCAUACAAACUUGUUGCAAUUGUGUAAAAGUAGAUAUAAUAUUUUAAGUGGAAUGGCAAUGAACAUGAUGUUACAGGUUGAGAAGAAUUGGGGUUGUGAAGCAAAUCAGAAUUUUUUAUUAUAUGUGGCUAAUGUUUUGGAUCCACGUCUUAAGUUGAAAUAUAUGAAAAUUUUUGGUGAGUUGUAUGAUUAUGACAAAGUACAAUUGCUAACAAAGAAGGUAAAAGAUAAUUUGGUGAGCUUGUAUGAGUUUUAUUUGAAAGCCGAUGAAGUGGUGGAUGAUAAUAGGCAUAAACAAGAUGUUAAUGAUGCUAUUGAUGACAUAAAGAUAGAUGUUAAUACUUUAGCUCAAUUCAAAAGGCACUUACAGGAGGAAGAUAGUGUGGAAAAUAGAAAUGAGAUUGAGAGGUAUUUGAUUGAUGGUUUUGGGGAUCCUAAUGAUGAUAAAUUAGAUAUUUUAGGCUAGUGGAAGAUUAAUGCUUCAAAAUAUAAGAUACUUUCGAAAGUUACACAACAUGUUCUGGCUAUUCCUAUAUCCACAGUGGCUUCUGAAUCAGCCUUUAGUACAGGUGGUCGUAUACUCGACCAAUUUCGAAGUUCUCUAUCUCCAGCAACAGUUCAAACACUUAUUUGUUGUCAAAAUUGGUUGCAUCAUGGACCAAUUCCAACUGAUGAUGGAACCUUGAUUAAUGAUUUUGAAACCUACGAAAACCUUGAAGCAAGUAAUGUUUCUUAUAAACUUACACAUUUUAUUUUAUGAUUUAUUAAUUAACACAUUUUUAUUUUUUAUUCUAACAUGUUUAAUUUUUUAUUUUGUAGAAUUCAGUAGAAGGUUGCAUCUAGUAAUAUGUGAUAAUUAGUUCACAAAUUGAUGCAUUUAUUGAAAACAUAUGGUAAAAAUACUAUUUUUUAUUUUUAUAUCUUCUAAUUUAAUUUUUCAUGUUAUAAUUCUAUAUUUUGAAUUUCAGGUAUCAAAGUGGCACUAUUGAGACGAUGCUUCAAUAAAUAAUUUUGAAAGGAAAUGAAAGUGCAAUGUUCUUUUUUAUUGAGACGAUGUGCAAAUGAAGAUUUAUUUUUUUGGCUUGGAGUGUUUUAUGAUAAUAUUAUUUGUUGUUUUUUCUUUAAGCCCUUUGAAGGCAUUGGCUUGUAAUUUGAAUUAAUUUGAAUUUUAAUUUAUUGGUGUGCGACUGUGUGUUAUUUAAACUUUUUUGAAGUACGAGAAAAAAAUUAGAAAGGUAAAAAAUAUAUUGAACUCAAGAUUGACAAUAACAACUUAAUAUAAAUGAAUAUUUAGUGGCAAAAAAAUUAAAUACUUUGGAAUCUUUUAAGAAAAUUAGAUAUUAUUAACAUCAAUUAUAAGCCCAUCAGAAAUCCACUAAAAGCCCAUUACGAAGCCCAUUAAAAGCCCAUUACAAAGCCAAAAAGGUGCCAGAAAAAUAACAAUAGGUUUUUCCGGUUUUGGACCUCAAAACCGGACCCAAACGGAACCAAAACCGGUUGGUUUGGACCGAUUCCAGUUCAGUUUGGGUCCUUUUUUUUUCCGGUUUGGUUGUUUUUUAAAGUUUAAAACUGAACCGAACCGAAAAUGAUCACCCCUACCAUCUGUUUGGGUGAUGUUGGUGGGCCUUGGGCUGGGAGCAUUAUUGUUUUUAUUCUUGGGCUAUUUGUUUCUUUUGCUUGGGCCUGCUACCAAUUGCGUUUAACUCAUCAACUCGUUUUGCAUCUGCCUUUCACUCUGCCUCUCCUCACCUGGUUUCCCGCCCUGCCCUUCCCUCUCAAUUGAAGCCACCAAUGGAAGUGCAUUUUGCAUCAACUUUGAUUGAUGAGAGUUUAGGUAUGAAUUUUCAGCUUGAUUUGAGUCUGAUUGGGAAACCUUUGAAGGAGUCGCUAUGAUAAUCUAUCUCUUUUCUUUACAUGGUUUUGCAUUCCUGCUUUCUCUCUUCUGCACAGUGGUGUAGCUCUAUUGGAAUUCAAUUUACCGUCGUUGGUUUUUUAUCAUCUUCUAGGUUUCCAUUGUCAUUUCUCACCCAUUGUCAUUUGACAGUUGUUUUCCCAUGUAUUGUCCCGAAUUUAUUCAUUUAUUUAGAGUUGAAUUUAGCUCUGUGGUGUUAUUUUCUGCUUUCUUUCUCAGGAUUUUGGCUCUUUUGACGACCUUUUGCUGGCGCAACCACCUGAUGUUCCAUGGCUUAGGUUGGGUGAUGCUGCUCCGGUUCGUGAUUUGCGAUUUUUCUCUAUGAUUCGUAGUUUUGUUUCUUUUCAGAGACCCUGCUGGUUUCUUUUUGGGAAGCACUUUUUGAUUAGGUUUAAGAGCAUGGCCGAGUUUCCUCCUAUUUUUGAUUAGUGGUUUUAUGAUGUGAAUGUUUAGGAAUGUUGUGUGUGUUUGAUUGCCUUCGACUAGGCACGAUCGAAUAGCCUUUGUCAGGGUUAUAUGACCCUUCAGCUGGUUCUUAGGCCUUGUUUGUUUCAAGGAAAGUGAAUUCCAGGAAUUCACUUUUCUUAUUUUCCAAUGUUUGGCAAUCAUCUGGAAACUUGGUCAAAGAAAAAUUAAUUCCGGUCAACAAAAACAGCUUACUUUACCCGCAGGAAAGUGUUUUCCUUUCCUUGUCAAAAGGAAAACACUUUCCUAUCUUUACUGAUAAAACAAUCUAACUCCUCUCUGCAUCUCUAUCAAAACACUAUAUAUAUUUUUGCUGUUUAAUUUGUCUGUCCUGUAUUUUUCUGUGUUUGCCAAUUUUUUUCCCAUACCCAGUUUUCUUCUUCAUCUCCUCGUCACAGUAAAAAAUGCUCACAGAAAAACCCAACCAAUUGCAUCACAAUCAAGCCAUAAAAACCCCAUUGUUUCUUGCACAUUCGGCAGCUGCUUUAGAGAAAUAAAAAUCCCCAAACAAGACCCAACCAGCCCUUACCCUGUUUCCCCGCACUGGAUCCAGCACAAAGAGAGUGACGCGAACAGGAGGGGAAACUGUCGGGUGAAAGAGGGUUGAGAACUGGGGAUGAGGAGCAAAUCAGUGAUAGGCGAGAGAGAACCGAGAGAGAGAGAACAGGGGAAUGGUGAUGGUGUCCUGCCCCUUGAAUCUGUGAUGGUGUCCUGCUUCUUCAGAGAACAGGGGAAUGGUUAGAGAGAACCGAGAGCGAGCAGGGGAAGAGAGACAACCGAGAGAGAACGAUCAAUGAUAGGCGAGAGAGAAUGAAUAGUGAGACGAGAAAACCCAGGGGAAUGAGGGGAAUGGGGGGAUUUUAGAAACUGAAUGAGGGGAAUCAGAGGGGAAUGAGAGGGGAAUUUGAGAAUCCGAAUGAAGAAACCGAUUGAGAGGGGCAUGAGAAACCGAAUGAUAGAAACGGAUUGACAGGGAUGAGAAACUGAAUGAGAUGGGAGUGAGAUGGGAAUGAAACCGGAUGAGAGGAGAAACCGAAUGAUGAUGGGAAUGACAGGGGAAUGAAACCGAAUGAGAUGAUUAAUUAGUUAUGGGAGAGAGUUAGAGAUAGGCGAGAGAGAACAGAGAAAACGGUGGGGUUUUGUUAUAAAGGCUUUUGUAGUUUGUUCAUGUGGUUGUAGUAGAACACUACAUACAUCAUGAGAACUAAUUAUAUUAUAUUUGUAAUUUUAGUUAUAAAUUAUGUGUUUAAUAGUGUAAUGAAAUAUAAUGAAAUACAACUCUAAGUAAGGUAUUGUUCCUCUAAAUUAUGUGUUUAAUUUGUAACUGAUGAUUGGGUUGAUUAGUUUUUUUAUCACACAAAUAUUAUAGACCAGCCUUGCCUACCUAUUACUGCUUGAACUCAACAAUCUCCAUGGUUAUAACUAACAAAUCAAAAUAGAAUAGAAUUGAACCUAGCCAAGAACUCGAUCGUGUGUUGUGUUGCUGCAUACGAGGUGAUUUUCGAAACUUAUGUUUAUUUAAUUAUUCGAUAAUCACAUUAUUAAGAAUUAAAAUGAUUGAUCUUAUUGAUCAUUGUGAACUUAUGAAUUGUAUAUUGUCAGCUUCUUUGAGCAUAAUUUAUUUUGGCUUUCUUCAUAUGAAAAAAAAAACUUAUUUUAAGCUUUUAAAAUUGAAAAAAAUAUAGUAAUAGGUUUUACUUAAAAAAUAUUUCACAAGCUUAUUUCUAUAUAAUAUGAUAUGACAUAUAUAGUAAUAUUUUAUAAAAUAAGCUAUGUAUAAAUAUAUAUUAUAAAAAAAAUUCAUCAUUAUACUUUUUAGAUUUCAUUCUUUUAUUGUAAGUGAUUAAAUAUUUAUAUUAAAUAUUUUAUAUAUAUUAGAUAAACUUAAAAAAAAAAUUAAUUCAUUAAUAAAUUAUUUUCCAGUUUCUUUUCCAUAACAUAACCAAACACUGGAAAGUGUUUUCCAGUUCAUUUUCCAUAACACUAUCAAACAUCGGAAAAUACUUUCCCGGAAUUCACUUUCCAGGAAUUCACUUUCCCCGGAAUUCACUUUUCAAAAGGAAACAACUUUCCUGCAAACAAACGGAGCCUUAAGCAGCUAUGGUUUUCCUUCACUGCAUUCAUUUUCGUAUAGCUAAAUGGUUUUUUCAAAUGGUGUCGAUAUCGACUUUGUCUGGGUCCAUCUUUUUUUGGCCUUCUGCUGUUCUGUUUCUUUAGAAUCUGUCUCUACAGCUUGUGAAAAAAAGAGUGUACUGACACCCUUUCAUCUAAAGCUAGAUAGCUUCAGCGCUUUAGUUAGGUCUGCUGAAACUUCGUCCGCUGUUACCUGCAACAUUUUUUCUUCCAGGUUUGUGCCUGUUCUUUCUCAUUUCGAUUUGGUUCUUAUAUUUUUUUAAGCUUACGUCAAGAAAGCUUCCUAACAAGUGGUCAGCCCGUAACUUUAUUUUGACCUUAACCUGGUUGGUGCUCCUGCCUUUUUAUACACUGUUCCUGCUGUGUCGUUUAAUCCAGGUUAGUUUCUUUUCCUUUUUCAUUGAUCUGCUCUUUGCUUAAGGGAAGGAGGGUGUCAUUUAAUGUUUGUUAACAUUAGUUAAUGAGUAGAUGAAACCCAAACACACAAGAUGAGAUAAAAAGUUAUGUUCUAAUGUUUCCAAUCUAUCAAAAUUGAGUUUCUUCUUAAAAUAAAGUGUAUUCAAGUCUUCAUUGCCACAUCACCCUCCAAUUGUCCAUGUCGUUUUGCAGCUCACAGUAAAUUAGGUGCCUGGAAUAUUUCAAUUCACUCCACUCCCACUGCUGCUGCCAUCAAUUCCGCUCUAUACUAUGAAGUAUGAGCAUGGCUGGCUAGGAGGAUUUGUGGGUAUAUUAACAAAUUAGCAAGUUGCUUCUUUGAUCUAGAUGUUUAGUAAAGGUGAUGCCAGGGGAAAUUAUAAGGGUGGUCUUGGCAUCCGGACUGCUAGAGAAGCCAUCUUUAGAUGGCAGCAAAAGGAUUUCUUCUCUGGCAUGCUAGAAUUCCUGCAGACAUUUGCAACUACCUUUUCCUCUCCUGUGUUUACAAGUAUCCUGUAUCGUCAAAGAAUGAUGAGUCACACAAUAUAGGCUAACAAGUUUUAACAUUACAGUUAAUUGCUCUAAUUCUUCAUCUGCACAUUACCUUCCUUUCUCAAAGAUUUGGCUUGGAAAUACUUACUAUCUUAUAUAUUCCAUCUUUUUGUUGUUUUCGAUUGUGGUUUGUUUUUGUUUUUGUUGUUGUUGAGGACGGUUGCAUUCCGAUAGCGGCCUCUUACCUACUUUUGUUCUAUGUUUGCUCAUGUGCUGUUCAUUAUCAGGUUGUCAUUCUUCAUUGCUUGCUGCAUUUUUUGGCUGCAGUAAUUUCUUUUUCUUUUUUUGGCCUUCUGCUGUUCUGUUUCUUUAGAAUCUGCCUACAGAUUAGUUUCCCACUCCUCUUCUAUGGCAUCCGAAGCAGAUAUCAACAGCAACUCACAUCCCUCAUAAAUCAACAUGUCUGGUGGGUCAGCAGGAACAAACUUUUUGUGCCCAAAUUGGCCUUGUAGGUCAUAUUCCUCUAAGAUGCAACAAGUAAUUAAAAUUUAUGGUCAAAUUGAUGUCCAUGAAACUGCAACAAAAUCCAAUGCUGACUACCCUCCUUUAAGAGCAUUCUUCACAUCUUCUAGUUUUGUUGUGAACAAGUCCACAAAAUCUCAACAAGGGCUCUUUUUCAUUGUUCAUUUCCUACAAUCCAAGAGAAAAAGAAAGCACAUUCAUUGCUCUAACUACUAACUCUAUAUAAACACACUUUUAAAAAGCAAGGAUCAGGUUAGUCUCGGUAGAUGGGACUUAGUUGCUGGCUCGAGCCUUUGUGAAUCUAUUACAAUUAAUUACCUGCAUCCAUGCUCACCUUCACUUCCAUUCUUGCCUGCAGAAGCACUACUACUACCACCAUCAUGAUCAAUACUUGAAGAACCUUUUUAGAACCUUCUUUACCAGAUUGAGGGGAUUGCUUCUCUUCAACCGCUCUCUCGCCAGACUCUGGCCUUAGUACCAAGUACAAUUGAACGUCAUCAGGGCUAUGAGCUUCUUCUUUCUCAACUCUUGGCCUAUAGAAGAAGAAUAUUUCACCUCUUUCCUACAUAAUUUUUCAGUUUUUCCAUAAAUAAAACCGCUCGUGAGUACUAUAUUCAUAACAAUAAGUUCCAUAGAUAAAAUAAGAGAGAGAGAGACAAACCUAGGCUUCACUUUUAGUCUUGACUUCUUCACCUUGUCCCAUUAUUUUAUCUGUUUCCUUUUGUUGAUUUCAAGUAUUAGAAGAAGCUGAUGAAUGCAAGAACUAAGAAGUGGCGGUGUUUAACUUGUUUGCAAACUCAGAAAGGAAAGAAGCAUGCAAGACACCUCACAGUAACAGUCCCUUUUCUUUCCCACUCUUUAGGAGUUUUGCGUAAGUGUCACUUAUGCGAACUCAAACUUACACACAAACUUAUCCUAACUCAAUCAGAGUUCAACGCAGCAUUAAUAACAAAAUCAACUUCAUAAUAUAAUUGAAUUGUCUUAAUACAAGAGUUUAUAUAAGUUCAGAGUUUUGGAGCACUAACUAAACAUAAAGGAAAGGUACAAAGUACAAUCAAAGAGCAGGUUCUGAAGGUCCAACAAAAUGACCUGCUAUCAAGCUAUAAGCCUGAAAAGGAUAAAUAAUGAGAUGGUGAGUUCAACAACUCAGUGAGUAGAUAACGUUCAAUAUACACACACGAGGUAAUAAAACAAUGAGAAAUAUAUAUAUAAGUAUGGCUCUAGGUUCUUAUAGGAAGGUUUCUCAAAUAGGCCAUAACAAGAAUAUCAGAAGGUAAAGCUCGUUAGAAAAUCAAAAUGUAAUGAGCAUGAGGCUCCGUACUGUGGGAUGAUCAGUCCACACAGGUUAGUGACUCCCCCGACCAACUAGGGUUCAGAUACGAUGUGCACAAAGACUAACACUACCCUGUUAGCAUGGGUAUUCUGACUUACAUACCAUAGGUUCAUAAUCAUAAUCAAACAGACAUAUUCAUAUCUCAAGGCUCAACUCAUGACAUCAAUCAAAUGAGGAGCUAUCAAUUCAGAAGUCAUUUCAAAAUAUAUACUGGUUCAUAUCAAGAAUUCAGAUUCAACAAUUGAUCAUGCUUUAUCAUAACAAAGAUAAUAAUCAACAUAUAUAUUAUCAAGAAGCAUGAUCCAAUUCAUAUUAACAAAUCAAAUAUUUAUAAUAUUUCUCAUGCAUAUGGAAAAUUUUCCACUCACCUGACUCGAAAGCAAACAGAAGUCAAAAGCAGACAUCGAAGAAAAUCCUACUGACGUCCCGCCGGUAGAAUAUCAGGAUUAUCUGAAUACAAAGGAAACAUAUUCAAGAACGACUUGAAAGAACAUAUAACCUAUUUAAUACACUUAUCUAAGGGUGUAUUCCAUAACCCUAUAUGUUUUUGAACUAACUAGUUAUUUUUCCUAAAAACCCAACAUUUAACGGUUUUCCCGAAAUCUAAUCCAUAAUAAAACAAAUAAUAAAAUUGGUAAUAAUUCACUAAAUAACCCUCAAUUAUUCAUCAAACCAAUCUAAAAAAGUUAAUAUUACAGCUGGGGACUAAUCUGUAAUUUAUCAUAUUUUUAAGGGUCAAAUUGUAACUUUUGUCUAAUUGAAGGACCAAACUAAAAAUAUCAUAAAUCCAUGGCUAUACUGAAAUUAUGUCCAUAAUUUGUCCUCAUUUCUGUCCAGAAUAUCUCAUUAUGCUCCAGGGACCAUUCUGGAAUUUUUCCAAAUUUUUAGGGUCAAAUUGUAUUUUUUUGUCAAAUUGGAGGACCAAAUUGAAAGUGUUAAAAUUUCAUAAUUAUACAGGAUUUCUGCCCAUAAUUCAUCUUUUAUUCUGUCCACAAUCUCGGAAUAGGCUCCAGGGACCAAUCUGUAAUGUUCCAAAGUUUGGGGACUAAACUGUAAUUUUCACAAAUUGAGGGACCAAACCGAACUUUUUGUCAUCUUCAACCUCCAACCCAGAAUUUCAACAGAAAACCCACUGUUCUUUCCUUAUUUCUAACACAAAUUCAUCAUUCAAACAAAAUCAUAACUCAAAAUCAUCAUAAUUUUUCAUAAUCAACUAAAUAAUCAAUUACCCACAACAAUCAACCCCAUAACAUUCAAUUUAAUUCAUCAAUUAAACCCAAAAUACAAAUUUUCAAAACCCUAACAUUCAUCAAAACUAAAAUUAAAGUUCAAUUAACAUACAUUUAUACAUUUAACAACCUAAAUCUUACCUUUAAACUUAUUUCUUCAAUUCCUUUCUCUUCUCCUUCUUCUUUCCCCUUUCUCUCCUGCCGGUUUGCUCUCUUAAUUUCAGAUCACUCUCUUUUCUUUUUUUCUUUCUAUUUAUAUUUAUGAAGUUUGUUGAAUUACUACAAUACCCUUCAUUCAUCCAUUCCUACAUCUAAGCCUUCAAGUGCUUUAUUGUAUUUUCCUACUCAUUUAUUCAAAACAUCACACUGAGAGUUUCAGAGAGUUCAUACGCAAAGGAAUCGUUUCAAUACUAACCUGAGUUAUUGAAACUUGACUGGGGUUGGUGGGAGUUGCAGAAGUUUGGCUAAGGUUGGUGGGAGUUAUUGAGAUUUGACUGAUGGGAGGAGUUAUUGAAGCUAGGCUGUGGUUGGGAGAGGGGCCGAAACCUUCAGCGUAAAAAAGGUAGUUCAUCUUUUCUUCAGCUAAAUCUCUCAGUCUGUUGAGCUCUGGCAAGACUUCUGUGCCAAGAUCUGGCCUGUCUUUCCGUCUCAGUUCUGCACAUUGGAGUGCAAGCUUUGCAAAACAUAAAGCCUCUUCAAUUGGCCAAUCAGGCACAGCUGAGUCUAGAAUUUCUUUGAGCGUCUCAUUUUCAAUAUCUUGUUCAACAAUGUGAGUCAAGCCCAAUAUUGGUGACUUGGCUGUUAUGACUUGCAGAAGCAAGAUCCCGAAGGAAUAUACAUCAGAUUUCACACCAAUAAUUCUAAUUUGUUGAUACUCUGGAUCUAGCAGAAAGUUCCAGCAGCUGAUGUCAUGUGGUAUUGUGUUCCAUUCUCAGAAGUAGUCGGAACAAGCCUGGCCAACCCAACAUCACUAAUCUUACUGGUGUAAUUGUUGUCUAGCAAAAUGUUUCCUGGCUUGAGGUCACGGUGAACCAGUGGCUCUGGCUUGGUCUGAUGGAGAAAGAGCAGACCUGUGGCUAUCUCAUCCACAAUUCGGAACCUUUUAUUACAUAGAGCACUAUCAAGUUCCAUAAACAACAGCUAGUAAUCUAUCCAGUCUCCAAGUACUCCUAACGAAUCAAGUCCCAUGAAAAAGCCUCAGAAGUUCUUCUACAUACAAUUGAUCUACCAUGCAAGAACAACAUGUCACGGACAUGUCAGCACCAUCAGCAAGCUCAUAGUCUCACAACCACCUUAGUUUCUUAACCAGGAGCCCCAUCAGUAUCUCCAAGCAAGAGGAAAUGAUUUAGUUUCAAUAAUAAUAAUAAUAAUAAUAAUUAAGACAAGUUUUAAUCUUUAGAGGAGAGAUCAAUGAAUGUAAUGUAUAUGUUAGAACCCAACUUCCAACGGUUACUGUUUGGCUUAUAUACAUAAAUGAUCUAUCAAAAUCUCAGAUUUUUAGUGCUUCAUCUCUUUCCUUUCUGACCAUUCAUCAGUGGAUCAGGUUGAAAGAAAAAUAAUUUUUUUAAAAAAUGUUCUUGAUAUGAUUAAUCUUAGGAUCCCACUUCAAAAAAUUGAAAGAAGCGAAGAAAGAGUAUAAUGUGAUAUAUAGAUUCCAUUCUUUUUUAUGGAGUUGUUGCUUUAACUACUAUUGCCAAACUUGUUGUGCCUUUACUAUCCAGUCCUGCAUAUGGAGAUAAAAAAGCAGGUUGGUUUAAUUUUAGCUAAAACUUAGAUGUUUUGCCAUUUUAUGCACUUGAUGUUGGUGAAUUUGUGCUUGAUUAAAUUCUAAAUUAAUAAUUGGUUGUAUUUCUUGGUUGAAUUGUCUUUAUCCUCCUCCUUGGGCCAAAAUAACAUAGUAAAAUGCACAGCAGCUUGGCUUUGAAUCAUUUGUCAACGUUUUCUUGUCUUUAUCCUCCUCCUUGGGCCAAAAUAACAUAGUAAAAUGCACAGCAGCUUGGCUUUGAAUCAUUUGUCAACGUUUUCUACUUCUUGUGCCUUUAUUUUUUCUGGACAAGUCUUUCUGAUCUCUAUUUCGUACAACCAGGAAUUUAGGAUGGAGAUGUGAAUGAGAUGAUAUAUGAUUUUUUUUAAAGAGUGUAGAAAGGCUAACUUAAAAUUUGGGGUACAUCCACAUUUUCCCUGUAAACACCUGCCUUGAUACGAAUUAUGUACCUUUUGCUGCUUUUCUUUAGUGCAGCUGCAGUUGCACCUGAUACUGUCUUGUAAUUCCCACUUCCACCAGCCGCCACCACCACAUCCAGAGCCACGGAUGAUGAUUGCAACAGCCUCCUGUCUGCUACUGACAUCCACUCCGGCCACUCACUUUCAUUACCUUCUUUUUCCUGCAUGAGCUUCCUGUUUGUGGUCAUGAGCUCAUUUGCAACGUCUGUGUCUGUCAUAUUCUUGAUCAAGAAAACCCAGGAUAAACUAAGGCAAGACUUUGGAAUGCAGAUUUAAAAUUGCAGCUCUGAUACCAUGUUAAUUUGGUUAAUGAUCUUCUUUCAUAAGAGUUUUUUUCAUUAAAUAGUAAGAAUUCUGAUUUACAUUUCAUAAAAUCUGCUAGUAUUAAAUGUCGGUCUAAUUAUAAAAAGCUAAUUAUUCUAUAAUUACACAAAUAUUUACAGUUAUUUUCUUCAUAUAAAUAACAAAUAUGUAUAUAAAAACUGAUGAUUCUGCUGAAAAGUACCAUGCUAACAGUUAUGGCAGAGCUUAACAGGGUUUUGAGGUCAUCUGCAUGUUUUUUUAAUGGAAUCUACGGCCUUCCAUCCCUACCAAGAUAGACACACUAUAGCUGUAAUAUAAGGAAAUGACUAAAUUACUUAAAAAUGAGAGAUUGAAUCUAAGCUGUUGAUAUAAAACCAUGAGAAAAAUCCAAUUCAUCUGUCCAUGUCAAAAUGGUUUCCCUCUCAUACCAAAACCAACCAUUUGGCGCCAUUUUACAACUGUCAUAACUGUCACAAGUUAAGGAAAGAAUUGCACAAGGUUGUUUUCAAAUCUAAUGAACCUUAGACAAUAUGACCAUUAGGAUUUAGUUAUAGCUAUACGCGCGUUUUAUUAGUGCAGGGUUUGUUAAGAAAAGAUGCCACGUGUGGCCAGUAGCGAGAAUAUAGGAAGUUAUCUUCAUAUAUAAGAUUUGUAACAGAACUGGAGAAGGAUAAUAAUGAAUGAAUGUUGAGCUGAAUUCGUGGAAUUCUCUUCUAUCUCUCUUUUCUUCUUCCAUUUGCUCACUAACCUGUAAACACCAUGACUGGAACUUGGCUACCAGCCAUUUCCAUCACUAAGGCACCUCUGGAUGUUUUCCAGAUUGGUUCCCACUCAAUCAGACACGCAACACUUCUCCUUUUAUUUUCAUUUUUAUUCUCAUUCUUAAAAUCUCUAAGAAGAAAUGGUGAGGAAGAGUAGAAGCCGAGUCUACUGAUGGGUCUGUUACUACCACUGCUGCAUCGCUUGUUCGUGCGAAAGAUGACAGUGGUUUUGUUAAAUGGUAUUUACUUGCGUCCCCCAGCCUUUUUUUUUUUUUUGGGGUGGGGGGUUCUUAUUUUGUGUUAUUAAUUUGAAUUUGGAGAUUUUCAAGAAAAGUAGCUAUGAUUUGUUUGAUUUAAAAAAAAAAAUUCUGGGUUUUUCUAUUUUUGUGUUCUUGAAUUGAUUUUGGGUUUUGGGGUUUAAAAUUAUGGGUUCUUUGAUUUUUUGAAGAAAUUGAGUAACCCGGUUGAUUCUUUAACAAACUCCGUUUCUGGGUGUUUCUAGUUUUGUGUUCUCGGCUUGAUUUUGGGGUUUUCAGCCAUGGUUCUUUGAAAGAGGGAACAUGGUUACAGAAAUUAAGGAAUCAGUGAAGUAAUUCAUGUGUUCUGCUUUUUUGAAUUGAUACAUGCAGUGACGACGAGUGCAGGAAGGAUAUGCCAGUGGCUUUAUAAGUUUCCACGGCCAUAGCCUUGAUGCUGAAAUCAAGAUGAAUUCGGGUUAGUUCAAUUCCAUAAUUAGACAAUUAAUUUUUUCAUUUGCUAGUUGGUUAAUCACUAAGUGGGUUUUAAUUGCUUGUUAUGAUUUAGGGCCUCAAGUUGUUGAAAAGCCAGCUGAAGCCAAGAAGGAAUAGGCUAAGAGGCACUAAUUUUGUUUUCCUAUCCGAUUAAUCAACUGAAUAUAUGUUAUGAUUUGGGGAUUGUGAAUUAGUUAUUUGGUUUGUAGGAAGACAACAACCUUGACAGAACCGAAAGCGAAGAAAGAGGAGAAGGGCAAGGAUCUAAAUGUACUGAAAAGGCCUCCCACACAGCUCAUCUUCUCCUUUGUUGCAGUAUUUUUGCACUGGCCAUUAACUUGUUUUUUCCCACACUUCUCUUCUAAUUCUAGAUUGAAGGCACCAGGAACUGAGCUCUUUUUGUGUUGCUGGAUGGCUUCUUUCUGGCCUUCUGGCAUGCAAAUUUAGCGCGGCUUAUCAGCCCUUCUCCUCUUUCUUUUCUGCUUGAGUUUUCCGCUUGUUUUGUGAGAGAUUCGUUGCUGAUGUGGCUGCUUUUUGCUCUGGUUCGCAGGUCAGUCAUUCCUUGAUUGGUGCACUAUAAUGAUUGUCCAUGAAAUGUGCUCCAAUCUGGCAAGUUGUUCAUAUUGUAAUUUGUGUUGGGGGAAGUGCUGAUUGCCCGCCAUUCCAUCUUCUCUGUGGGUGGUAGCUAGGUAUGGUCUUCAUGUAACCAAGUUUAAUAAAGUCUUAUUUUCAGUUUCAUUUGAUUUGCUUUUUUUAUUUAUUUCCCACACACCCUUACCACUCCAUUUCACUUCUUUUUAGGAUGGGCUGCCAUGUUUGCUUUGGCUAUCACAGCUACUGCCCGGAUUAGCUUCUUUCUUGUCGUGUCAAGUUGUCUAAUUUUGUUUUUUAAGAGAGUAACGGAUUAGCCCUCUCGGUUUCUUUCUUGCAUUUGUUUUCUGGUUUUCUCUAUGCUGUUCUUGGCUUUGGUUCUUUAUUUUUUUUCUCAUGGCAAUCCCUGUUCAUUGUUAAUUUUUUAUUUCGAUUGUGAGUAUGGCUGUAAAAAUUGGUUUUGCAAAUUUUUGUUGAAUGUUUUUGGACGGUGGCUGUAUCAGUUGUUUUGAUCUAUUUGCUCUGCAUCUAUUUUGGCUUUUGGUUAUUUUUUACUCUUGCAAUUCCUAGUUGGUGUUUUUUCUUUGGGUUUUCGCCGCAGUUGUUUUCUCUUAUACAUUGUGCAUGCACUUUUUUACCCUUUUUGUUUUUUAUCUUAUAUAUUGUUUUCUCAUUUCAUUUCGCUGGCUCAGCAUCCUAUUCAUCACUAGAUUUACGACUUUGCAAGGUGCUCUAUUAGCGAUCUCGGGCCCUAUAAUCAGGUUUUUUAAGAGGUUUUUAUUCUUCUCUUUUUCACUUUUUUUUUUGUUAGUUUCCUUGAGUUUUCCAGCCUGUUGUGCAGCACAUUUAUUCUCCUUUGAAACCAAAGAAUGAAUUAAAGAGAUUUUAGUGAGCAAUUUUACUUGUCUAGGUAGCUUUACUCUUGGAUGGUAGUUGUAGUGCAUAUAUUCACAUGUUUAUCCACCAUCCAGCCCGACAAACACUAUUCUGCAGAAGCUUUAAAUAACCAUUAUGCGGCUUCCUUCAGUCUUACAGGUUCGACUGCACAUACAAUAGUUAAAACAGCCACCUUGUUGUCAGUCUUGGAAAGAAAAACAACGCUAAACUGCAAAAUGCAGAAUGAUAUCGAUUGAGUAGAGAAAAAAUGGGACUUGUACAUGGUUUCUACAAUAUUCACAAUAUGAGUGCUCUUCAUAUUCAAGUAAUACAGGAAGGAAGGCAUGCAUGAUAAUAUAAAAAACAAAUCAGGAUGAAUAAUCAUUUCUUUUAUGGCAAUAAUCAUCUCUUUUAAUUAUCGAUUGAGUUGAGAUGCGACACACUCUUUGUUCUUGUGGAUUUCUAUGCAUCUAUUUACAGCUGAUAGUCUACGAUGCUGGCCAAGUAAUACCAUGCUCUCUCACUGUUCUGGAACCAAAUCUGAAAUAUACUCUUGUGGGUUUAUAUCCUAAUGUUUUUUUUAUGGACGUGUGAUACUGGUAAUGGAGAAGAACUUCUGUACUGAUGCUGCUGGAAACAGAAUUUACAAGAGCUGCCAAUUCAAUUUUCUUUGUGCAUUUUGGUGAGUUUGGUUGUUCAUUCCUCAAGUUUUUUUUUGGAACCAGCAUUUUUCUUCAAAACUAUUUUCUGCUUUGAGCUCAAUAAGAAGGAUUAAACCAAAUUGAUAUUUUUAUGCAUGUAACUAACAGAAGUUGAACUGUUAAGAUUUUGCAUCCCUUUUACAUUGGAUUCUUGCGUUAUAAUAUUUUAUUUAUAGAUAUAUAGAAGCAGAUUGUUUCUGUAUUUCUUAGUUAAGAAUUGAACGUACUGCAAGACUUCAAUUAAGUAUCAUCCUCCUGCAGCCUUUUGUUUCAUCCAUUUCUGUUUCAAUCGAGUUUUCUUAUCUUGCUCUGUUCACUUUGUUUAUUCUACAGAUAGAAGAAGUGUGUUUGUUGACCUGAGGAUCCACAUUCCAGAUAAGCUUCUUCAACUUGCUCUAAUAAAAAAAAAAAAAUAGAAGUUACAUUGCACACACAUAAAAAUUCACAUUCAUAUCCAUAUUAACCGCUUCUAUCUUAGUGAGAAGCUGUCAGCUCCAUCCAUUUUUACAUUCUGACAAACACACUUAUCUCAUAAAGACCACAGAAAACUGUCUAUGGCGUCUUCAAGUUUCUUCAACUUACAUUGUAUACACAUAAAAAUUCACAUUCAUAUCCACCCUUCUAUCUUAAUGAGAAGCUGUCAGCUCCAUCCAUUUUUACAUUCCGACAAAAACACAUAUCUCAUAAAGACCACAGAAAACUGUGCAAGCCACACAUUUAUCCACCAUUUAGCCCGAUAAACACUAGUCUGCAUAAGCUUCAAAUAACCAUUCCAUGGCGUCGCGUCUUGGAGGUUUCUACAACAGUUAAAAUAGCUAACAUGGUGUUAGUCAUUGAAAGAUAAACAACGCUAAAAUUCAAAAUGGUUGGAGUUAGAUAAUAGAUUAUCAAUAUAUAAUUUAUAAAUCCAUAUUUUAUAUAAACUGGAGCCAAGUUUGCCUUUUUUUCUUUUUUAAAUCUUGGGGUCAACUAUAGUGUUUUUAGCUUUAAUUGUAUUUGCUACUAAAAAGGGAUUGGUUAGAAAUCUCACUAAUAAUCUUAUUGGUUGUUAUUUAAAUGCGAGUUUUAUUAAUUGGUUAAUCUUAAGAUUUAUAGUGGUUUGUUUAAAGUAUCAUAAUUGUAUAUAAAGUUGAUGAUUUUAAAAUAAAUAAUACUGCAUGGACAAUGCAAUUAUUUUUAAUAUAUGGAAAAAAUCUUAAUAAAUACAAGUUAAAUUAUGUUGUAAGAAUGAUAUUAGAGUAAUGAUUGAAAGAAUGCUGGAUGGCUAUUGAUUUUAUCAUUGAUAAGUAUAUAUUCUAAUACAUAGUAAAAGCUAAUUAAUAAUGGCUUACUACAAAGUAACGGAAUAAUUUAAACCCCAACUUACCUGUACACGUCUACCCUCUAUAUUAUAUUGAUUGUUGGGAUAUGAGAAAUCUUGGGCCACUCAGAGCCAUUCUCCUUUCUACAAUUUUCUUUAAGAUGUGGACAUGCAUUCAUCCCCAACUUCUUUAAUUUGGAGAGGCAUUGAAUGGUUGUUGAACUUGGCAGAUACUUGAGAUUCUUGCAAUUCCAAAUAGCAAGAGAUUGAAGAGAAGAAAGGUUGGCCAACCAAUCUGGCAAAGCUUCCUCAAACUCAUCUCCAUCGAAAUUACAUAUCCACAAUCCCUCAAGGGCAGUGAGGUGUUGAAGUUGGUGAGGUACACUCUUCAGUUUAUCCCAUCCAUAUAUGAAUAGGGUUUCAAGGGACCCACUCAAGUUGAGGUGUUGCAAUGAGUUUAAAACUCCUGCAGGAAAAGCUUCCAUCUCCUCUGAGAAACCACCGAUUAUCAAUUCCUUCAGUUGGGUGAGGCCGCCUAAGCAAUCAUCCUCUGGGAAAUCACUCAAACUCCGACACCCAAAGAUUUCUAAAUGACCAAGAGAAGUCAAUUGUCGUAAACCAUGCCAAUCAAUUCUGAUGAGCUUAUCACAUGACAUUAUAUCUAAUCUUCGAAGUGAAGUCAAUUCUUGUAAAUCACUGAUAUGGAUAAGCUCUCUCCAAUUCAAUAUCCGCAAUACCUCUAGCGAAGCGCAACAUUGUAGUCCGCUUGGAAGAGCUUCCAAUUUACAACUAUCAAUAAACAAUGUCUUCAAAGAAUACUUCAAUUCUCGAAAAUCACCAGGAAUUGAGAUCAACUCAUGACAGUCAUCUAUAAAUAAUCCCACCAGAGCUGUGCAAUGCUGUACGCUUGGAAUGGAUGCCAGCUUCUCACACCUCUGUAUCCUCAAAAACUGAAGAGAUGUGGAUUCUUGAAACUCACCAGACAAAUAUCUCAGUUCCUCACAUCCCUCAAUUUCAAAUCGUACAAGAGAUGAAAGACGACAUAUCGGAAUGCUUUUCAACUUACCACAACUCUCAAUCCUCAACCAUUCAAGACAAGGAAAUACUUGAUAACCUUCUCCACCUGGUACCAUCCAUUCUUCAAGACCAUCCAUCCUGGAUAGAGUGAGUUAGUGCUGGAAACAGUACUGCUGCGCUGCCUCUGCUGCUAUAGAACUCAUUGCCUAUACAUUUCACAUUCGGCAUUCCACUCAUCUCUAGAAUCUUAAGGCGAGGAAGACAUCCAAGUGUUGGGAGUUGCCUCAACUUGCCACACUGCCGAAUGCUCAACUUUUCAAGACAAGGAAAUACUUGAUAACCUUCUCCACCUGGUACCAUCCAUUCUUCAAGACCAUCCAUCCUGGAUAGAGUGAGUAUUUGUAGUGCUGGAAACAGUACAGGUGCGCUGCCUCUGCUGCUAUAGAACUCAUUGCCUAUACAUUUCACAUUAGGCAUUCCACUCAUCUCUAGAAUCUUAAGGCGAGGAAGACAUCCAAGUGUUGGGAGUUGCCUCAACUUGCCACACUGCCCAAUGCUCAACUUUUCAAGACAAGGAAAUACUUGAUAACCUUCUCCACCUGGUACCAUCCAUUCUUCAAGACCAUCCAUCCUGGAUAGAGUGAGUUUUUCUAGUGCUGAAAACAGUACUGCUGCGCUGCCACUGCUGCUAUAGAACUCAUUGCCUAUACAUUUCACAUUAGGCAUUCCACUCAUCUCUAGAAUCUUAAGGCGAGGAAGACAUCCAAGUGUUGGGAGUUGCCUCAACUUGCCACACUGCCCAAUGCUCAACUUUUCAAGACAAGGAAAUACUUGAUAACCUUCUCUACCUGGUACCAUCCAUUCUUCAAGACCAUCCAUCCUGGAUAGAGUGAGUUUUUCUAGUGCUGAAAACAGUACUGCUGCGCUGCCACUGCUGCUAUAGAACUCAUUGCCUAUACAUUUCACAUUAGGCAUUCCACUCAUCUCUAGAAUCUUAAGGCAAGGAAGACAUCCAAGUGUUGGGAGUUGCCUCAACUUGCCACACUGCCGCAUGCUCAACUUUUCAAGACAAGGAAAUACUUGAUAACCUUUUCCACCUGGUACCAUCCAUUCUUCAAGACCAUCCAAACCGCAUAGAGUGAGUUCUUUUAGUGCUGGAAACAGUACUGCUGCACUGCCACUGCUGCUAUAGAACUCAUUGCCUAUACAUUUCACAUUAGGCAUUCCACUCAUCUCUAGAAUCUUAAGGCGAGGAAGACAUCCAAGUGUUGGGAGUUGUCUGCUCUUGCUGCAAUCUUUUAAUCUCAGCUCAAUCAUAUUAUUGAGUUGCAAUGUAGACAUCCAUGAUGGGAAAUAUUCACCCCAGUAACCCUCAAUUGUCAAGCUUCUUAUGUCUGGGUGAGGUUGCAGGCCUUCUAGCACAUACUCGUUGUUAACAUUGUUGUUACCUUCAAGGCUCCAUUCAAGCACCAAUUUGUUCAUUCUUUUUUCACGCAGUUUUGCCUUCUCAGCUUCUUCUCUGUCUCUAACUUGCUCAAGCUUGCAUAUCUGCAAUUCUCCUCUUAGUUCAUUCAAACAUCCCAGCUCUUCAACCAUAUGAUUUGGACCCACAACAAAAAAAGGCAGAGUUUGAAGGCGUGUUAAGAGUCUCACCUCAGCUGGCACUAGCUUUGGAUCAUCAAAAUAAAGAUGUCUCAAGCUGACUAAAUUUCUCAUUUUCUUGGGAAGCUUUUCUAGUGACUUGCAAUCAAUGAAUCUUAAUGUUUCCAAAUGGUAGAGCUUGGUGAUGGAUUCUGGCAAUGCUCUGAUACUGGUACGUGAGACAUCAAGAUAUCUCAAAUGUCUCAGCUUGCAAAUUGGAUCUGGUAACUCAUUGAUAUCAGACCGUUGCAAUUUGAGAGUUCUCAAGCUUUUGAAUUUGCAAGACCCAUUGAAUACAUCAACCAUUGAGAAAACAGUUCGCAAUUUUCUAGCAUCAACCGCUGUUAAUGCUGACUCAACAUCCCCACAAGAUAUGAGAUUUAGAUGACGAAUAUAAGAUGCACCAUCGACAGCCGAAUCCGCCUCCAGAUUUAACGCUUCUGAUUUUGAGACCUGUAAUGCAAGAUCAUGCACAAGAUCAUGCAUCUUGCAACUUGUUACGAUCUCAUACCCAUUCCUUUCAACAUCUUGGAAAAAGGAAUUUGCAAGCAAGUCAUUGAAACACUUGUUGCCUUCAUCUUCCAUCCUCGCAUUUGAUGGCCUGAGAAAACCUUCAGCCAUCCAAAGUUGAAUUAGCUCUUCCCUUUCAAUUUUAAAAUCUUUAGGAAAAAUAGAACAGUAUGCAAAACAUUUUUUCAGUGAUGGCGAUGACAGGUGAUCAAAACUGAGUCUCAAUAUGCGCAAAGCUUUUUUACUUCCAUCCCGAGAAUCCCAAUUUCUACUGUUUAGAAUUGACUUCCACACAUCUGCCUGCUUUCCGUGAAGAGUUCCUCCCAAAACAUUAGCAAGCAACGGAAGCCCUCCACAUUUCUUUGCAAUCUCUUUUCCAAUAGACACCAAGUCUGAAGCUAUUGUUUCUCCUCCACCCCCACUCACCUUUUGCUUGAUAAUGGACCAACAUUCAUCAUCUGUUAGUUUUCCUGGCUCGUGCUGAAUCCCAGGAGAAGUCUCCAUCAUGUCUGCGACUUGCUUUUUGCGGGUUGUAACAACAACACCAUUCCCAUUCAUGCUGUUAAUUUUUAACAGUUGCUCCUUCAAAUCAUUCCACUUAUCAAGGUCUUCAUUCCACACGUCAUCAAGAACAAGAAAAAAUGUCCUCUUUUCCAGCUUUUUCUUAAGGUUUUCCAUAAUUGCAUUUAGGUUGCUCAACCUACUUGUAGUUUCAUCAACAUUUUGCAACAUCUCUCCUAAAAUCCUCCCUUGACUAAAAUCAUUAGAAACACAAACCCAGAUUGUUAAAUCAAAGUGUUUUCUCUCCCGCACUACUUCACAGACUUUUUUUGCUACAGUAGUCUUUCCAAGGCCAGCCAUCCCCACUAUAGGGACAACCGAAAGGACAUGUUGGUGUUUGGUCAAGCUAGUCAGCAAUUCCAUAACUUUAGAGACAUCACCCUCCCUUCCUACAACUUCUGAGCUGUCAAGGAACGAAUGUGUCUCUCGAUCUCGGUCCCAGCUAACUUCUUGAGCUCUAUCUACAGGUAGAGAUGUCAAUCCAAGCCCAAAUCCGGCUGCAUCUUUCCGGAUUUCAUCCAGGUCUUCAUUGAUCUUCUUAACUUUUCGACCCAUAUUCAAACGGAAUGCAACAGGUUUGUAGAGUGAAAAACAAUCACGUACCUUUCCCUUGUUUUGUUUUUUUCGAAGAAUCUCAUACGCAAACUCGUCUAGAACAUCUUCAGCAUCAUAAGCUACAACCUGUAGGUUCUGCAGCCAACGCUUCACAGACUCGUCUGUUACUGCCCUUCUGGCUGCGUCUUGGAGCACAUCUUUGAUCAUGGUCAAGGACUGGUUGAGCUUUCGCAGCUGGCCCUCCAAUCCCCAAGCAAGUCCGAUCCCUUCAGCAGCAAGGGAAAUCACCCUUUUCAAAGUCUCCUCCAAGGCAAACGUAAGAAGAAGCUCUGCUGCCAUAUUCUCUCUGUUUUUUUUUUCUUUCUUUUUUUUUUGGGGGGGCGGGGUCAAAGAAGAAAUUUUGAGCACAAGAGAGAGAGAAGUAUGGUGUGAAAUAUUAAAAGAUGAAACGAAGUGUGUUGGGAAUGAUGAGAUACAGAGCAUAGUUGCAUGAGGGUCCCUUCCACCCUAAUUGAUUGAUGGCUGUUGGCAGCAUCUUCCACGAACCACUACUGUCAAGUUGUCAUAAUAUAGUUGGAG
This 32502-nucleotide long non-coding RNA is filed under the name Populus trichocarpa (black cottonwood). Its description in RNAcentral is "long non-coding RNA (PTRI_LNC003185)". Lineage: Eukaryota; Viridiplantae; Streptophyta; Magnoliopsida; Malpighiales; Salicaceae. The record is from RNAcentral.